Molecule: ribosomal RNA, 566 nt
Filed under: Golovinomyces tabaci
Lineage: Eukaryota; Fungi; Ascomycota; Leotiomycetes; Helotiales; Erysiphaceae
Description: partial large subunit ribosomal RNA
Rfam family: Eukaryotic large subunit ribosomal RNA
Source: RNAcentral
GAUUACCUCAGUAACGGCGAGUGAAGCGGUAACAGCUCAAAUUUGAAAUCUGGCUCCUGCGGAGUCCGAGUUGUAAUUUGUAGAAGAUGCUUUGGGAGGUAGGCUCGGCCUAAGUUCCUUGGAACAGGACAUCAGAGAGGGUGAGAAUCCCGUAUGUGGCCGUGGCCUACGCCCGUGUAAAGCUCUUUCGACGAGUCGAGUUGUUUGGGAAUGCAGCUCAAAAUGGGUGGUAAAUUUCAUCUAAAGCUAAAUAUUGGCCAGAGACCGAUAGCGCACAAGUAGAGUGAUCGAAAGAUGAAAAGCACUUUGGAAAGAGAGUUAAACAGUACGUGAAAUUGUUGAAAGGGAAGCGCUUGCACCCAGACUUGGGCGUCGUCGAUCAUCCGAGGUUCUCCUCGGUGCACUCGGCGAGGCACAGGCCAGCAUCGGUUUGGAUGGUUGGAGAAAGGCUCUAGGAACGUAGCUCUCUUCGGGGAGUGUUAUAGCCUAGGGCGUAAUGCAGCCCAUCUGGACCGAGGACCGCGCCUUCGGGCUAGGAUGCUGGCGUAAUGGUUGCAAGCGACCCG